UGCCAGGAGCAAUGGAGGGUUGUUCUGGUUUUACAGCUAUAUAAAAAGAGUAUAAUCAGUUAAAGCUGCCACUGUGCAUACAUUCUAAUCAGGAUGAUUCCCUUCAACUCUUUAUCAAUGAAUGGCAUUAUUCAACACGUGUAAUCCUUCCGAGAUUAAGAAUCAUUAGAUAAUAAGCUAUGCCUUGGUGGAUCUGCAACAUCUGCAGUUUCCUGGUCACAGAAAUGCAUUUGUCACAGAGAGUAAAGAGAGGAAACAGGCAACCCGUCCCCAGCUGAAAACCUUACGAACAGAGGGACCUCAGGGAGGAGGCCAACUCUGCACACUGUUUUAUCCCUUGCACAGGGAAAGGGUAGAUGCUUAAAAAUAAUCUGCCGAGAUCCUGGGUUUUAAAAGACAGCCCCCCCUCGAAAAUAUAAACAAACAAAAACAACAAAAAACCCACAAACACAACACACUGCAAUACUUGUGGGUUUUCAAAGCGGAAAGGAAGGCACCUUGAGAGCAGCGAGGGCAGCUCACCCCUGCGAGCAGCUCGCCCCGCGCUCACCCGCCGCGUCUAUCUCGUCACAACGGGUUUAAUUGUGCAUUGACACCAGCAGGCAGCGAGACGACAGGCGGCCCCAAGGAAGAGAUUUAUCCCCUCGUGCAGGGCAGUUUGAUAAGAGACGUCGGCUCUGCGCGGCCGCACAAUGGCUUUUUUAUUUGUUUGCUUAAUACUGGGCUGUUUCAGAAGCGUGCGCAGCUGAACCGGCAGGAGAUGCAAACAGAGCGCGCUCGUUUGGGAAUUACGGGGGUGGCGAUGAACAGGAAAAACAGCCCCUGUCUUCUUCACAGGGAAGUCAGCUGAUAAACUGAUCUGAAGGCAACGUAUCUUCCUUCCUGUAAAACGCAAUAACAGGCAGAUCUUGUGACCUCGGUGGCCCUCUGCCGCGUUGAUUCCUGGCUGGGGAGGGGAAGGGGGAAGCUUUCCUUGGCAAGCGUCGCGUGGGCCCUGCAUGAAUCACGCGGCCACGCCGACAGCGCCAGCCAACAAAGCCGGCGCAGUGGGCCGCGCCGCCCUCGGAGCAGGCCCCUGCGCGGGGAGAUAAGCUGCAGCAGCCCUUUCAUCACACAUCCGCUGUGGCCUUCCCGUUGCAGCCGCCGGCUGGGCCCGGAGGACAGGACGGGCAGAAAGGGAGAGCCAGGGGCUGUGGUGUCCUCUCCUGGGCAGGGCUUUCCCCGCGGCUCUGGGUGGAGGGCACGGAGCAGCACGCCGUUUGUGCCAUCCCGCUGUGCGUGCUGCUUUUGCCCCAGCCGAUCCCCUCCCUCCCCGCCUUGGCAGCGUGCGGCAGAGUAAACAUCAUAAAGAACAUAAAAAGGAGUUUUCCUGAGUUUUCCCUCAAGUUCCCCGGCAACGGAAAGCUUUUGCAGGACUUGCUGACUGUUCUUUGCUCCUGUGGAGGGAUCAAGAGCUGUGGAUACUUAGGAUUGCUGGAAGUCAGACUGACCAACUAAACUUCUCAGCACUGAUUAGAGAGAUCUGAUUGGCAGAGCUGGAUUAUGCUGUGCAGUAACUGUCAAGACAAGACAGGACAAGUAUCAGCCCUUCAACUUUAAACUGUUUGUUGAGAUCUUUCAUGACAUAAACCUGUUUCACGCUGGUGUGAGGAGAAAGACAGAUGCAAACUUGAAAAGAAAAUUGCAAGCUCACCUGGAAACUAAUUGCUUUUAGAGUGUUUGUCCUCUGAUAAAGAAGUCUUUACAGGUUCUCUCAUAUUUUGAACAGAAAGACAGGCCUAUUCAGCAGAGAAUCAGAGAAGAUCAACAUACCCAGGAACUUGCAAAACAAGCCAAACGUUCAAGCACCCUGUGUUCCCAAAGCACACAUCAGCUUCCAUGCUUGUGAAAUGCUGUUGACUUCCAGAAGACCCUUUACCUGCUCUGCUCUUUGGAAGAAAAAGAAUAAUGCUUUUUUUGUUCCCUGUGAAAUUUUUCAGGGACGAAGGGAGCUGUUGAAGGCAACGUGGCACUCAUGUAGCUUUUUGUCUCUGCUAAUGUCAACUAUGUAUUCACUAUAAUCAGCCAGUGUGAAGGUCUCUCUGAUGUGUAUCAGAGAGACAGCUUACUCCACACCGCUCUGUCCCACUGGCUUCCAAAUGACUUUUCUAGUAAUCGUAUUUGAAAGGACAAUCAUUUUUGCCUUGGAUUAGUCUAAAAGCCUUUCCCUCAUUAACCCAUUUUUCCUCCCAUGCCUGAGGCAGCCUAAGAUGAAAAGGUACUGGAUGUUUUCAAUUAUUUGUUUACUCAGUACUUUGUAUACCACCUUCCAUGAAAGGAUGGGGACGUCCCCAGCCCUGAUACAUUCAGCCCUUUGGUCCCCUUCCUCCCUUCAUCUGGCAGUUAUGAGCACUGUUGAUUUUAAGGUAACCUGCUGUGUUGCAGCUCUACCUGCAUUGCAUCAGAUGUGCAAGUGAUUUUAAAUGAAAAUGAGCAAAUCACUGCAGAGCCUCCCCAAGUGUGUGUAGAGGGAGUUGUAUAACUGAUUUAAAGAAGAAAAAUAAAAAAGAGAGAGAGAGAGAGAGAUGGACUGCUGGCAAGAAGGGAAAAAAUAAACCCAGGGCAAGGAGGAAGUGCUCAGAAGGCCGGAGAAAAUAGUGCUUUAGUCAUUGUGCAUGAAGGGCUUUUAGGAAAAAAAUCAGCAGAAAACCAGCACUUGGGAGCAGAGAGGCAGUGGUUUCAUGCCAUACACCAGGACUCAUGCUAACACAGAGCGUCACUAUUAAGAAAGGAGGAGGGUAAUGGGGGAACAAUGAGGCCAUACCUGGAGAAAAAAUGGAUAAACUGGAAAAAAAACAAAGGCAGUGAAGAGGAAGAGCCACAGAGAAAUGGGGAAAAAGAAGUAAAAUUAAAUAGGAACAAUGUGAAAAGGAAGAGAAAGGAAAAGAAAUUAAAAGGAGAAUUUUUAAAGUGAUGGAUUUUACUUCAGAUUUAAUUUCUUCAACAUGUAUUACAAAGUUGGAUUCCACACUGAAGUUUAACACAGGACUGCUGCUUUGAACUGCCAUCCUUGGGAAAGAUAACCUAAAAUAUGUAGAUGAGAUUCUCUGUCUUGUCCACUAACAAGCAUAAACAUCAGUCUUGGAUCAAAGCAAACCAGUAAAUGACUCAAAGUUUGGACUGUUGGGCUUGGUUUGCUCCCAGCAAAGGGAACAUGGCUGAUACAGAAAAUAUUUCCUCCUGGAGUGACUCCAUGGAAAGACUAAGUGCCAGGCACAUACCAGGAACACGGGAUAGUGCAAGGGUUGCAAUGUGCAUUCUCAGUGUAGUCCUGAACAGUAGUCUCUGGAUAAGUGCAAGUCCUGAGUCAUGCUGUGAGCACUGUUUGAAUAAUUGACCAAACAGCCUGAAAACGGAUACCCUUUCCUUCAGCAGAAGGGAUAUUUUUCUUAAUUUAAAUAUAUGUACAAUAUAUAUGAAAACAAAUUAAUAUGCUAUUGUAAAGAUAAGUGUAAAGAUGUACAGAUGUUUGAGUGAAUUGUGAGGUUUCCUCUUGUGCACCAUGUUAAUUGGAAGUUAUGUGGGUUUUUUGGAAAACCAAGUUCAGCAAAAUGCAGCCACAUGUUAGCGCAGACCAUCUUUGGACAAGACCAUGGGCUAUAUUCAUCCCUUAUGACCAACCUUUAGCGGGUCAUCAUGGAAUGGAUCAACACUGUGGUGAGGUCUAAUGAGACAUGCAGAAAGGAAGGGCAAUGUGGGGUGUACUGGUAUUCCUAUGGGAAGUCUACAACCUUUGUCAGUCCUGGUUUUGUACUGGGGCUGUGUAGUUCAGAGAUGAAAGCAACAUCUGUUGCUCAUGAAAGACUUAGGUUGUGGCAUUAGUCACAACAAACUAAGAAGUCUUGCACUGAUUUUUGGCACAAAUGCACUUUAAGGGAGUAGGGUAUGUUUUAUUGCUUUUCUAAAUGUGAAACAAAGCUUUGUGGCUGUGUUCCCUUUAAAAGAAAAUCACCUUGCCAUUGAAAGAAAAUGUAGUCACAUUACCAUAGCUGUAUUGAUAAUGUUUCCCGAUUUAAGUGUUCCUGUACAUUAAACUCUUAAGCAAAUUUA
This is a long non-coding RNA of Anas platyrhynchos (mallard), 4089 nucleotides long. RefSeq lists it as uncharacterized. NCBI's taxonomy places the organism in Eukaryota, Metazoa, Chordata, Aves, Anseriformes, Anatidae. The record is from RefSeq and is a predicted model, not a curated record.